This 455-nucleotide ribosomal RNA is filed under the name Naja atra (Chinese cobra). Its description in RNAcentral is "partial large subunit ribosomal RNA". It matches the Rfam family "Bacterial large subunit ribosomal RNA", at positions 1909 to 2580 of the family's 2925-position model. The record is from RNAcentral. Lineage: Eukaryota; Metazoa; Chordata; Lepidosauria; Squamata; Elapidae.
CCAGUGAACAAUUUAACGGCCGCGGUACCCUAACCGUGCAAAGGUAGCACAAUCACUUGUCUAUUAAUUGUAGACCUGUAUGAAAGGCAAAACGAGGGCCUAUCUGUCUCUUGUAGUAAAUCAAUUAAACUGAUCUCCCAGUCCAAAAGCUGGGAUGCCAACAUAAGACCAGAAGACCCUGUGAAGCUUAAACUAAACUAUUAAAUCCUAUAAUAGCUCCUUUCGGUUGGGGCGACCCUGGAAAAAAAAAGAACUUCCAAACAUACUGACCUUACAGUCACCUACCCUAGGCCAACAAGCCUAACAACGACCCAGCACAGCUGAUAAUUGAACCAAGUUACUCCAGGGAUAACAGCGCUAUCUUCUUCAAGAGCCCAUAUCAAAAAGAAGGUUUACGACCUCGAUGUUGGAUCAGGACAUCCUAAUGGUGCAGCCGCUAUUAAGGGUUCGUUUGU